GCCUGGCUGGCUCAGUUGGCAGAGCAUGAGACUCAUGAUUUCAGGGUUGUGGGUUUGAGCCCCAUAUUGGGUG
Molecule: non-coding RNA, 73 nt
Organism: Canis lupus familiaris (dog)
Lineage: Eukaryota; Metazoa; Chordata; Mammalia; Carnivora; Canidae
Source: Rfam